AGUUUUAGCAUAAUAAUGUAUAAUAAUUUUCUUAGGUUCUUCUUUAUUGUAUUAAUAUCAACUUCACUUUUAUGCUCACCAGAGAGAGUGCGUAGAGUUAUUGGUGGUUACCCAGUACAGAAUUCGAGAUGGCCUUUUCUGAUAGCAGUUUAUUAUAAUGGCGUAUACGAAUGCAUGUUUUCCUUAAUUUCAUUAAAAUCGGCCAUUGGACCUGCUAGCUGUUUGAUUGAUAAAAACGUUUUGUCAUUUCAUGGGAGAAUAGGAAACGUCGAUAGGUAUAAAGGAACUAAGAUUUUUUUCAAAAACUAUGUCAUUCACAAAUCGUAUAAAUGUUCGUCAGAAGAAGACAAUAUAGCUUUACUAUUUCUUAAAAAACCAAUAACUAUAUCGAGUACUAUUAUGCCUGCUGCUCUUCCGCAUAAAACUUUAAAUUUAACAGAAACAUGGAGAGGAGUAUAUUCUGCAGGAUGGGGAUGCUCUCAAUUCAACCGACCGUGCACUUCUUCUAUACUACAAGAAAUUUAUCUUCAUUUAAUACGUUUAAACAGUUAUUGUCUAGUAAAGAAUUACGUUAUUUCUGAUAAAGAACUAUGCCUUUUUCGCUGGCGUAAAUCCACUGCAUUAGGAUCGGGAGACUUAGGCGCACCAUUAAUGGGAGAACUAACCGAUUAUCACAGGAAGACAUUAUUAGGUAUCAGUAGUCACACUUUUGAUAAUUCGACUCGAUUCGAAAUUUUUACAUCGAUUAAAGUUUAUUAUGAUUGGAUAAUAGAAAAUAGUGAAGGAAAUUUAAGUUUUUUACUUUGAUUUCUAUAUUCGAAAAAUUAUGACAACUGACAGCAAGAAAUUCGGCUUGAAAGCGUUGAUUUUUGUAGAACUCUAAGGCAAGAACUGUGAAGUACGUGUGAAGAACAUUUCGGUACUAUUGUUAUUCUUUGAAUGAGAAGGAUUAGUUUCAAAAGUUUGGAUAAAGUUUAAAAAUUUUUAUUUUUCAAUGUUUUGAGGAAAAAAUUAUAAAAAUAUUGAAUGUUGCUUUGGAAUUCUACAACUUAUGGAAAAAUGUAUUCGAACAUAGUUUAAGAAAAUAAAAUAUUUUAAUUUAAACAAGAAUAUAAAAAUGUAAUGUUUAAAACAAAAAUAAACAUUUUUGUUCAUUGGGUU
Molecule: unclassified non-coding RNA, 1161 nt
Filed under: Centruroides sculpturatus (bark scorpion)
Lineage: Eukaryota; Metazoa; Arthropoda; Arachnida; Scorpiones; Buthidae
Description: serine protease ami-like, transcript variant X1
Source: RNAcentral